RNAcentral lists this ribosomal RNA (646 nucleotides) under uncultured Actinomycetes bacterium. RNAcentral describes it as "bacterial SSU rRNA". It matches the Rfam family "Bacterial small subunit ribosomal RNA", at positions 811 to 1456 of the family's 1533-position model. Lineage: Bacteria; Bacillati; Actinomycetota; Actinomycetes. The record is from RNAcentral.
GGGAACUAGUUGUAGGGGCCAUUCCACGGCUUCUGUGACGAAGCUAACGCAUUAAGUUCCCCGCCUGGGGAGUACGGUCGCAAGACUAAAACUCAAAGGAAUUGACGGGGGCCCGCACAAGCGGCGGAGCAUGCGGAUUAAUUCGAUGCAACGCGAAGAACCUUACCAAGGCUUGACAUAUACAGGAAACGUGCAGAGAUGUACGCCCCGCAAGGUCUGUAUACAGGUGGUGCAUGGUUGUCGUCAGCUCGUGUCGUGAGAUGUUGGGUUAAGUCCCGCAACGAGCGCAACCCUCGUCCUAUGUUGCCAGCACGUAAUGGUGGGAACUCAUGGGAGACUGCCGGGGUCAACUCGGAGGAAGGUGGGGAUGACGUCAAAUCAUCAUGCCCCUUAUGUCUUGGGCUUCGCGCAUGCUACAAUGGCCGGUACAAAGGGUCGCGAAACCGCAAGGUGGAGCCAAUCCCAAAAAGCCGGUCUCAGUUCGGAUUGGGGUCUGCAACUCGACCCCAUGAAGUUGGAGUCGCUAGUAAUCGCAGAUCAGCAACGCUGCGGUGAAUACGUUCCCGGGCCUUGUACACACCGCCCGUCAAGUCAUGAAAGUCGGUAACACCCGAAGCCGGUGGCCUAACCUUUUGGAGGGAGCCGU